GGAACACUGAGAGCAUGAGAGGAAACAGGAGAACUCGUUCUCCUGAGAGUUUGGUUUCUUCUUCCUUCCCAUCAACCUCUCUUUCCAUCCAAUCUUCACCGUCGACUGCAGUCAUUGUCUGUUUGUUUUAGAGGAGCGGCCUGCUGAACACAUUCACCUGGAGAAAUGAAUUUCCAACUGGGUUUGAUCUGAUUGUAGUGUCUGCCCAGAACAUCAGGCAUGUGAUGAAUGUGGAGCCGGAUCAAACUGUCUCUGACUGUCCACACACUGCAGAGGUCCAACACUGAGAGGCUGAGCCAUGCAGGUCCAACAUUGAUUUCUGGUCCAGUUUGUUAAAGAUGCUAAAGGGUGAUGUGGUGCUCUGGUUUUUCAGACAGAGGAAGAGUAGAAGACAAGACACUGAGGAAGAUGUAGAGAACCCAGGGGAUUUUAAAAAGGUUCCACAUUCUGCAAAAGAACAAUGAUCUCAGUCUUUGUUUCUAUGAACUAUUAAUUAUUAAGAGAUGGAUGAAUAAACCAUCGAAGCUCAUAGUUCAGAGUUCUUUAUCGUAACAAAUGAAUCUGUUUUCUGAGUUUAAUUCUCCUGUUUCUUCAUACGGGCCACUGUAAAACCUGAAGAUGGAUACUUAGCUGUGUGAGCCACUCAUUAAUCAACAUGUUGUCAAUAGUCUGUCUGCUCCCACUUAUUCUGCUGGUUCCCCCACUGGGGAUAUGAUGGGAAGUCCAGCUGACCUGCAGCAGAAAGAGAAAAAGGCUUUUUUCCUUCAUCUCCUCUGUUAAACUGGUGGAUUUCUCUGCUGAUGAAGGAAGGACCCACAGGUGUCGGCUUGAAUGAACUCAAGAGGAAACUGUUGAUCUCUGACCCCCAGCACUUCGGAGUGACCAUCCCACAAAUCGUUUUCUGGACCUUCAGAUCGUCAGCAACAUUUCUGGUGGACCUCUAGUAGAGAAACUGCAGUCUUAGUUUUGAGAAAAUAUUAGGACUUCUGAUGUUACCUGCUGUGUUUGUUACCUGCAGUGAGAUGUUCUGGACAUGUUCUACUCAAAGUCAGACACCUAAAAUGUCCCUGGUAUUAAAA
Molecule: long non-coding RNA, 1079 nt
Organism: Girardinichthys multiradiatus
Lineage: Eukaryota; Metazoa; Chordata; Actinopteri; Cyprinodontiformes; Goodeidae
Exons: 3
Source: RefSeq, a predicted model, not a curated record